GUGAGAGCGGACGUAGAGGCUGAGGCUCCGUGCUGAGUGCAGGUUCAGAUGUCGACCAUCACUCCCGAUAAAGCGCCUCAUCUGUCAAAGGUUUGGAUCGCACUGAGGCGGUUCGACAGAAACGAUUCUCACCAAUACCUUUGGGCUGAACACUUCUAAUGUUGUAUUCAAGAUAAGGAACCACCGUGGCUGUCUGAUCCCCCUGAACAGCUCCAUCCCUGCUAACAGCAAGCAUGUACCUUACGUGCUUGAGGUAGCCAAGAUUUUUCAGCAUGUGCAACCCAGGCCCAGAACCAUUCCCAUGAUUGUUAUCAACAAGAGCAUGAAGACCAGACUGCAGACUAUUGACAGGAGGAUUCAGAGACUGAACGACCUUCUACCUCAGAUCAAACUCAGGCACAAUGAAAAGCUCAGCCAGGAGAUUGAAUGUCUCAGCCAAAAGUUGAAGUUUCUCCAUAAGAGAAUGCAGGUGGCAGAUUCUCACAGCUGGAAAGGCAUGCUGACCAGAGCCCCUCUGUGGUAAACAUCCACAUUUCCGGCAGACAGAUCGCGGCCCUACGUCAAGCCUUGUUUACAGUGUGUUCACCCACAUCUGUCAUUCAUGUUGAGAUUUCAAACACAUUCGGUGGUCAACCUGGUGGGAAUCUGGACAGAAUAUCUUCUUUAUACAUUCAAAUCACACACUCAUCUCUCUGACCUUCAGGGUAUAGCUAAUAGAGUAAUUACAAUACUGUGCUUUUCUGUACAGCUCUACUGAAAAUGUAGUGAAAAAAUCCCUGUCACCUCGGUGUAAUUUAGUUAUAGCAUACAGUAAAGCACCAAAUACUUUGUUCUCAUGCCACAUUUUGAUUUUUAGUGAACCAUUAUUUCACCAAUAGGUUUCUUCUGGCUGGAAAUGGCAUAAAUAAAACAGUAAGAUGUUGUGUUAAAGGUGUUAAUGGUGAAUCUUAACUUUUUCUAUGUUUUUGUUUAAAUUAUUAUUCUUAAUUUACCCAAAAAUGCCAUGACCACAAUUAUUCAUGUACAUUGUAAUUGGCAGAUUUUUUUUUUUUAAUUAAAUGCAGCUUCUGUAGCAUUUCAAAUGAUCCCUGUAAUCUACAUCAUUUUCUAUAUUUUUCUGAUAAUAUUUUUCUAAAAUCAUGGCUAAACUAAAGAGCAAUCAGUGAGCUUGACAGGUAUCCCCAUCACUUGGAUGGAGCUGCAUGUUGUGGCUGCUCACGAGGCAAAGAAAGAUUAUAAAAUCAUAUCCAGGUAUCAUUAAGUGCCAUUGGCCACUGAUGAAGCAUCAUCAAAAAGUACAGGGACAAAGACUGCAAAGUCAAAUCUCAAAGGCCAUGGUAGGAAGCCAAAAGGGAGCCCUGCAUUGUCAAGAAGGUAGAGGUCAAGAAGAAUCCACUAAUCAAAACUAUUCUGAUUAAUCUGUGCAGUUGUAGUACCAACAAUUCAAUCAGACACUCCAGCAGACACUGAACAAGGCUGGUCUGCAUGGAAGGGAACCAAAGAGGACUCCAGUUCUCUAAGACGUGCAUACAGUGAAAGAAAAGAGAAGCAUUCAACCCAAGUACGCCAUACCCAUAGUCAAACAUGGUGGGAAUGUCAUGCUUUGGCAGAUAGAUCAGCAUUAUAACACAAAUACAGCAUUAUAACAAAGAAGGAUGACAUUACGAUUGUGAAGAAAAACAUCAAGCAGUCUGCAAAAACACUAGUAUCUCAGACAUACAGCCAAUGGGGUCAAGAAAUGUUUAACAGAAAACAAUAUAAACGUGUUGGAGCAGUCCCGUCCUGAAUCUAAUCAAGAAUCUGUGAAAGGAGCUGAAGACCAGAAUGACCCCUCAAAGACCUGGACAUCAUCACAAAAAGGAGUGGAAUAAAGUCCCAGUGGAGACAUUCAGAAAGAUUGUUAAAAGAUUUAAGAACUGUUUGGUGAAUAUGAUGUGAAUGACUACUGAGAAAGGGUAUGAAUAAUUUUGGACAUUGGUGUUAUAGUAAAAAUGUAAAAAUAUACAAAGAAAUAGCUCAAGCAUAUAAUAUACAUAUCUAACUUAACAUCUUACUGUCUUUUCAAAGGUCAUUUUUUUUCUUGCUGUCUGGUGGUGAAUAACGUGGGGCUUAAACUGUAUCUGUGAUACUUUCACAUUGGGCCUUACAAGAACUUGCCAUGGUUAACAGCAAGAAGCAAACUCAUUUUGACUGUUGGAUGAUGAUGGACCAAAUGUGACCUCCAAUUGUGUGUAGCAUGAAAUGAAUUCAAUAAAAAAGAGAAGGUGAGAUAGUCAUUUCUUAAAAAAAAAAAAAAAAACUGUCUAAUAUGCAGAAAAUCACAGCACAGCCUCAAGAACCAGAGUUGUAUACUACAUACUGAUUCUCAGCAUACUUUGAAUGUGUACACUGAUCAGCCACAGCACUUAAAAUACACAGGUGAAGUGAAUGACACUGAUCAUCUUGUUGCAGCUCUUUCUUGUAGAAAAUCAUAGAAACCAACAACACAAAAGUAAAGAUUAUUUAAAGAAUUAGUGUACUUGCUCAGAGUGAUUAUUUUAUCCUUUUUCUGGAUGUCAUCGGUCUUACAAAUCGUGUCACGUGCUAUGGAAGUGUUUGAAAUUGAGUCAAACUUACACUUCAGCACAAAAAAAAAAAAAAAAAAGAUGUGACAGCUUAUAAAAUGCUAACAUUGGGGUUUGUAAAAAAAAAAAAAAAAUCAAAAACAAAACAUACUGUAGACUGCAAGUGUAGCAUCUCCACUCAUUUAACUGUUCACACUUCAACUCCUAGUCUGAUAAAGUUCUGUGCACUUUCAGGCUCCAGUUAAGUCAUGUAGCUCUCCUUCAAAGCAUUCUCUUUAAAUCCAUUUAGAAGCUCUUCCUCAGGCAAUAGUCAAAAAGGUAUUUCAUAGAGGCAGUAAUCAGCUGAAAUCAUUAUCACGUGCUGGUCAGCAGCUAGCAAGUAAAAAACAAAACGUGAUCA
Amphiprion ocellaris (clown anemonefish) is the source of this 2964-nucleotide long non-coding RNA. NCBI's taxonomy places the organism in Eukaryota, Metazoa, Chordata, Actinopteri, Pomacentridae. The record is from Ensembl.